GGUACAUCGGUGACAGGUGGUGCAUGGUUGUCGUCAGCUCGUGUCGUGAGAUGUUGGUUAGUCCCGCAACGAGCGCAACCCCUAUUGUUAGUUGCCAUCAUUCAGUUGGGCACUCUAGCGAGACUGCCGGUAAUAAACCGGAGGAAGGUGGGGAUGACGUCAAAUCAUCAUGCCCCUUAUGACCUGGGCUACACACGUGCUACAAUGGUUGGUACAACGAGUUGCGAGUCGGUGACGGCGAGCUAAUCUCUUAAAGCUAAUCUCAGUUCGGAUUGUAGGCUGCAACUCGCCUACAUGAAGUCGGAAUCGCUAGUAAUCGCGGAUCAGCACGCCGCGGUGAAUACGUUCCCGGGCCUU
RNAcentral lists this ribosomal RNA (357 nucleotides) under uncultured Streptococcus sp. RNAcentral's name for it is "bacterial SSU rRNA". It matches the Rfam family "Bacterial small subunit ribosomal RNA", at positions 1022 to 1382 of the family's 1533-position model. The record is from RNAcentral. Lineage: Bacteria; Bacillati; Bacillota; Bacilli; Lactobacillales; Streptococcaceae.